AGCUGCCUCAGUUCCUCAUUUAGGGUGUAUUGGGCCCGGGGUGUGUCUCUAGUUUCUGGAGUCAACCCCUGAGAGGGAGCAGCAUUUGUCCCUGCACAGUAUGCUCCUGUGAUGUCAGGGGUGUUUUAGGCGAAUUGGUUUUAUAAAUCGGAGAAGCUCUGAAAAUGAAGUUGGAUCCCCUUUGCAGGACUCAUGCACACUUUCGGGGAGUCUGUGCUGUCGGAAGAGGGGCUGGCCUCAUCCCUGGCAGCUCCUGUUAUAACCUGGUGGUUGUUGAACAGGAAAGGAGGCAAGGGAAGGCCAGGUGUAUGGCUGCCCAGUAGAGGGAAGGGAAGCUCCGGACACUGGCCUCCCUCUGUCCUCCCUGAUCGCACAGCUGCACCUCUUCCAGGACUGGCCUCAGGGCCAGGAGACUUUGGAACCCGAAAAAUGUAACCACACACAACAACUAAAGCUCCUUCCGGUGCCCAUUCUCCCCCGCGGGUCUUAGAACAUUCAUGUGCUGAAGACAUCGCCAGCACCCCCCUCCCAGGGGGACACGGAGUUUGAUUCUCCGGUGACACGAUCAACGCAGAGGAGAUGGACAGAAGUCUGCAUGACACACCCCGCUGACCAUGCUUUCCCUACGCACCCCCUUAACUGCCCUCACACGCACGCGCACACGCGCACACGUGUUCCUUGCAGCUGGGGAUGAUGUUUAAGAUGGCGGCUUGGACCUUUCCUGGGCUACUCUGUCUUCUGGGGUCUCAUGUAUGCAGGGGGUUCACAAGUCACUAAACUACUGCUUUUCUACGGUU
Long non-coding RNA from Myotis brandtii (Brandt's bat), 797 nucleotides. RefSeq lists it as uncharacterized. The record is from RefSeq and is a predicted model, not a curated record. The transcript is spliced from 2 exons. NCBI's taxonomy places the organism in Eukaryota, Metazoa, Chordata, Mammalia, Chiroptera, Vespertilionidae.